GAUGAACGCUGGCGGCGUGUCUAAUACAUGCAAGUCGAGCGAACAGAUAAGGAGCUUGCUCCUUUGACGUUAGCGGCGGACGGGUGAGUAACACGUGGGUAACCUACCUAUAAGACUGGAAUAACUCCGGGAAACCGGGGCUAAUGCCGGAUAACAUUUAGAACCGCAUGGUUCUAAAGUGAAAGAUGGUUUUGCUAUCACUUAUAGAUGGACCCGCGCCGUAUUAGCUAGUUGGUAAGGUAACGGCUUACCAAGGCAACGAUACGUAGCCGACCUGAGAGGGUGAUCGGCCACACUGGAACUGAGACACGGUCCAGACUCCUACGGGAGGCAGCAGUAGGGAAUCUUCCGCAAUGGGCGAAAGCCUGACGGAGCAACGCCGCGUGAGUGAUGAAGGUCUUCGGAUCGUAAAACGCUGUUAUUAGGGAAGAACAAAUGUGUAAGUAACUGUGCACGUCUUGACGGUACCUAAUUAGAAAGCCACGGCUAACUACGU
This 496-nucleotide ribosomal RNA is filed under the name uncultured bacterium. RNAcentral's name for it is "partial 16S ribosomal RNA". It matches the Rfam family "Bacterial small subunit ribosomal RNA", at positions 28 to 506 of the family's 1533-position model. The record is from RNAcentral.